This 253-nucleotide ribosomal RNA is filed under the name uncultured bacterium. RNAcentral describes it as "partial 16S ribosomal RNA". It matches the Rfam family "Bacterial small subunit ribosomal RNA", at positions 524 to 776 of the family's 1533-position model. The record is from RNAcentral.
GACAGAGGGUGCAAACGUUGUUCGGAAUUACUGGGCGUAAAGCGAGUGUAGGCGGCUUGGCAAGUCGGAUGUGAAAGCCCCGGGCUCAACCCGGGAAGUGCACUCGAUACUGCCGAGCUUGAGUGUCGGAGAGGUUGGUGGAAUUCUCGGUGUAGAGGUGAAAUUCGUAGAUAUCGGGAGGAACACUGGUGGCGAAGGCGGCCAACUGGACGAACACUGACGCUGAGACUCGAAAGCGUGGGGAGCAAACAGG